CCAAUCUCAAAUAUGAGGUGGGCAGUCCAGAGCUAUGAUUGGUUGGCUGGCCCUCCUAGACCUGGAAUGUUGAGUCCUUAAAAAAGGAAUGAGGAAGGAAGGCUAAAACUCCCGUUGCCAGUCUUGCACGGCAAGACAAGACAUGACAGCCAUUUCGCCCAUCUGUUCUAAAGAAAAGUUACCUUCCAGCCCUGCUGUAAAAUCUCCCGUGGGCCGAGACACUUUGAUGCCCACCGUCGUCCUAAAAAGAACAUCGUGUAAACUCACCUGCAGCGUCAUCUUCA
This 284-nucleotide long non-coding RNA is filed under the name Rattus norvegicus (Norway rat). Its description in RNAcentral is "long non-coding RNA NONRATT016556". Lineage: Eukaryota; Metazoa; Chordata; Mammalia; Rodentia; Muridae. The record is from RNAcentral.